AUAAAGUUUUAUUCUAGCUUGGAUUUUUAGUUUAAUUUUAUUUUACAUGUAAAUUUUGGUGUGAUUAGGAAUUCUCUAGAUGAGUAAUAAUAGUUAUAUGAUCGCAGUAUGGAAAUUUAAAUAUCAGCGGGAGCUGGAUUUAGGAAUAAUUGAAAGUAUUAACAAAAUUUGUGCCAGCAGUUGCGGUUACACAUAUGAUGCUAUUAAAAAUUUUUCGGAAGCAGUAAAUUUUUAUUUUUGACUUAUUUCUAAAAAUUAUAAGGUGAAAUUUUUAAUUUUUAUGUUUAGUCUAUAAAAUAUAGUUAGUCUGGGAAAUUCUCUAUUAAACUAGGAUUAGAUACCCUAUUAUUUUGAACGUGAUUUAUUAAAUUCCAGAUUAGUAUUAGUUAUGUUCUUGAAAAUUAAAGAUUUUGGCGGUAUUCUAGUCUUUUCAGAGGAACCUGUCCUAUAAUUGAUGAUCCACGAUAAAUUGAACUUUUUCUUUUAGUUUGUAUAUCGUCGUAGUUUGAAUAUUUUAGAAGAAUUUGGAAUGUUCAUGAUUUUUAUUUAAAGGAAAUCAGAUCAAGGUGCAGCUUAUGGAAAAGUAGAGAUGGGUUACAUUAAAUUUAUUUUUGGAUUUAUUUUAGAAAGAAUUAAUGAAUUUGGAUUUGACAGUAAUUUUAAUUAUUUUAUUAAAAUGAUUUAAGCUCUGGAAUAUGUACAUAUCGCCCGUCGCUUUCGCUUUAAGGUGAAAUAAGUCGUAACAAAGUAGGCUUACUGGAAAGUGUGCCUAGAAAGGC
Molecule: non-coding RNA, 779 nt
Filed under: Jebusaea hammerschmidtii
Lineage: Eukaryota; Metazoa; Arthropoda; Insecta; Coleoptera; Cerambycidae
Source: RNAcentral